ACCACAGGAAAACCAACAG
This 19-nucleotide non-coding RNA is filed under the name Mus musculus (house mouse). Lineage: Eukaryota; Metazoa; Chordata; Mammalia; Rodentia; Muridae. The record is from RNAcentral.